RNAcentral lists this ribosomal RNA (854 nucleotides) under Cellulosimicrobium cellulans. RNAcentral's name for it is "bacterial SSU rRNA". It matches the Rfam family "Bacterial small subunit ribosomal RNA", at positions 1 to 871 of the family's 1533-position model. The record is from RNAcentral. Lineage: Bacteria; Bacillati; Actinomycetota; Actinomycetes; Micrococcales; Promicromonosporaceae.
CUAGAGUUUGAUCCUGGCUCAGGACGAACGCUGGCGGCGUGCUUAACACAUGCAAGUCGAACGAUGAAGCCCAGCUUGCUGGGUGGAUUAGUGGCGAACGGGUGAGUAACACGUGAGUAACCUGCCCUUGACUUCGGGAUAACUCCGGGAAACCGGGGCUAAUACUGGAUAUGAGCCGUCCUCGCAUGGGGGUGGUUGGAAAGUUUUUCGGUCAGGGAUGGGCUCGCGGCCUAUCAGCUUGUUGGUGGGGUGAUGGCCUACCAAGGCGACGACGGGUAGCCGGCCUGAGAGGGCGACCGGCCACACUGGGACUGAGACACGGCCCAGACUCCUACGGGAGGCAGCAGUGGGGAAUAUUGCACAAUGGGCGCAAGCCUGAUGCAGCGACGCCGCGUGAGGGAUGAAGGCCUUCGGGUUGUAAACCUCUUUCAGCAGGGAAGAAGCGCAAGUGACGGUACCUGCAGAAGAAGCGCCGGCUAACUACGUGCCAGCAGCCGCGGUAAUACGUAGGGCGCAAGCGUUGUCCGGAAUUAUUGGGCGUAAAGAGCUCGUAGGCGGUUUGUCGCGUCUGGUGUGAAAACUCGAGGCUCAACCUCGAGCUUGCAUCGGGUACGGGCAGACUAGAGUGCGGUAGGGGAGACUGGAAUUCCUGGUGUAGCGGUGGAAUGCGCAGAUAUCAGGAGGAACACCGAUGGCGAAGGCAGGUCUCUGGGCCGCAACUGACGCUGAGGAGCGAAAGCAUGGGGAGCGAACAGGAUUAGAUACCCUGGUAGUCCAUGCCGUAAACGUUGGGCACUAGGUGUGGGGCUCAUUCCACGAGUUCCGUGCCGCAGCAAACGCAUUAAGUGCCCCCG